Molecule: RNA transcript, 1587 nt
Organism: Hevea brasiliensis (rubber tree)
Lineage: Eukaryota; Viridiplantae; Streptophyta; Magnoliopsida; Malpighiales; Euphorbiaceae
Gene name: heat shock factor protein HSF30
Exons: 3
Source: RefSeq, a predicted model, not a curated record
ACGAUUAAUUGUCUGAAGCCAACUUCAUUGCCAAGUGGCAGAAACUUCUUAGAGGCUUCAGAAAAAUAAGCUGACAAUCAAAAUCCCUCAGGAUUUUUCCAUUUUAUGAGGCACUCUAGAGAAAGGAGCAUACACAAAAACAUGCGCAAUGGAGGGAGUGGUAAUGAAAGAAGAGGAGGAGACUGUGACAUACGCUGCAGGAGAUGUCCCUUCUUUUUCCUCAUCUUCGAGCUUCCAACCGCAGCCAAGGGAAGGGCUGCACGAUGUGGGUCCACCUCCAUUUCUGACCAAGACUUAUGAAAUGGUGGAAGACCCAUCAACGGACUCCGUGGUUUCGUGGAGCAGAGGUUUCAAUAGCUUCAUCGUUUGGGACUGUCAUAAGUUCUCCACUACUCUGCUUCCUAAGUACUUCAAGCAUAGUAACUUCUCCAGCUUCAUUCGCCAGCUCAACACUUAUGGAUUCAGAAAGGUCGACCCUGAUCUAUGGGAAUUUGCAAAUGAAGGGUUUUUGAGAGGGCAGAAGCAUCUGCUGAAAACCAUCAAGAGGAGAAGACACGUUUCGCAAAGUAUGAAACAGCAAAGUGGAAGACUUUGUGUUGAAGUGGGAGAAUUUGGAUGGGACGGUGAGGUAGAAAGAUUAAAAAGAGAUCGAAAUGUGCUAAUGGCAGAAAUCGUGAAGCUUAGGCAGCAACAACAGCAGUCAAGAGAAACAAUUGCUGCAAUGGAGGAUAGGUUGCAAACUACAGAGAGAAAACAACAGCAGAUAAUGAUAUUUCUUGCUAAAGCUCUCAACAAUCCAUUAUUUAUCCACCAAUUAUCUCAGAGGAGAACACAAAGGAGAGAACUAAGAGGUGUUGAAAUUGGGCGCAAAAGGAGAUUAACAGCAAGUCCGAGUGUGGAAAAUCUGCAAGACGAAGUGGCUUCCAUGGCAAUGGGUGUUGGCCAAGUUGUGGAUUACACAAACCAAGAACCGGGAACCAUAGAAGCAGAGAUAGAUACAUUCUUCUCAGCUGCCUUGGAUGAUGAAUCAAGCAGUGAUGUCAGGGAUCCAGUAGCAGGUUCUACACAAGGGAGUAGCGUGGACAAUUUGGGUUCCGUGAAUGAGACUAUUUUAGAGGAGUUGCUGAAUGAUGAUACAAUUGGUGGCAAUCCCAGUGAAGAAGUUAUCUCUGAUGAUGAACCAGAAUUUGAAGCUGAAGUUGAGGAUUUGGCUGCAAAACCUGCAGACUGGGGUGAGGAAUUUCUAGACCUUGUGGAUCAAAUGGGUUAUCUAAAGUCAAAGCCAUGAUAUAUAGAAGAAAAUUGUUUCUGAUACAGCAGGGAAUGGUGAAAGUUGCACUGGGGCCAACAGAUGUUCCAAUUCUUUCUGCAGGCUGGCCAAGGAAGAUCGUUAGGGAGAGGGUUUCCAUUUCAAUCCAAGGCUCGCAUACGGAGGUCCUGGACUCUACCUGGUGUUUAUGGGUGUUAGUUCAACGCUUUGCAAGUUUCUGUAAAUUCCACUGCUCUACAUGUACAACAAACAACAAACUAGAUAGAAAAAUACUUUUUUAAGUCAUUAAUUAAAAUUAGUAAUGUAAAUUUGUCUGA